This 523-nucleotide ribosomal RNA is filed under the name Pila pesmei. Its description in RNAcentral is "partial 16S ribosomal RNA". It matches the Rfam family "Bacterial large subunit ribosomal RNA", at positions 1817 to 2597 of the family's 2925-position model. The record is from RNAcentral. Lineage: Eukaryota; Metazoa; Mollusca; Gastropoda; Architaenioglossa; Ampullariidae.
GUCUCUUUGUUUUUAUUUUAUAAAGAGUCUAACCUGCCCGGUGAUAUAUAUUUUAACGGCCGCGGUACUCUGACCGUGCAAAGGUAGCAUAAUCAUUUGCCUUAUAAUUGAAGGCUUGUAUGAAUGGUUUGACGAGAAUUAGCCUGUCUCUUAUAAAUUAAAAUGAAAUUGGCUUUUAAGUGUAAAGACUUAAAUCUCACUAAUAGACAAGAAGACCCUAUUGAGCUUUAAAGAUCUAUAAUAACAUAAACUGUAUUGAAAUAAGAUUAUAAGUUAUUAAAAUUUUUAGUUGGGGCGACUGUUGGAACAAAUAAAACUUCCAGAGUUUUGUAGUAUUCGGUAUUAAUUUAUUUAAAUUGAUCCAAAAUAUUUUGAUUAAUAGAAUAAGUUACCAUAGGGAUAACAGCAUAAUCUAUCUUAAGAGCUCUAAUCGAAAGAAAGGUUUGUGACCUCGAUGUUGGAUUAAAAUGUCCUAAGGGUGUAGAAGUUCUUAAGGGUUGGUCUGUUCGACUAUUAAAAUUUU